Long non-coding RNA from Chelonia mydas (Green sea turtle), 2197 nucleotides. RefSeq lists it as uncharacterized. The transcript is spliced from 3 exons. NCBI's taxonomy places the organism in Eukaryota, Metazoa, Chordata, Testudines, Cheloniidae. The record is from RefSeq and is a predicted model, not a curated record.
GAUGAAUACUUUCAGAGGGAAUGGUAGUCCCAGGAAGUAGGUCUAUGCAAUACUCUGGUGCAGUGUGGUGUGAGAAGGAUAGGUAUCCCUUAUCCAAGGAGCGCCGAGGCUUUCAGAGAGGCAAUGGAAGAGAAAUUAAUGCACUCAAGAACUGAACAUGCUGUUUCUCCACCUGCAGAACGCCAUCACCAGGGUAUUGGAACAAUAUGACAAAUCUGCAGCUUCAGAGGUCUUCAGAAACAAGAUAGGAGGUCUCCCCAUCCUAUAUGUCAACAGUUACAGACUCUCCUGAGAAGCUACCAGAUCAGUGACUCAUUACAGCUAAGGGUCCAAUUCUGCAAGGUUCAGCAUCUCCUGAGAGGAGCAGAGGGCUCUCCAUUCCCAUUGGAAGCAAAGGGAGUUGACAGUGCUUACUAUCAAACUGCACUGAGUCCAUUUUAUUUGUCCUGUGUCUAGGGAUGAAGAAAAAAGCACCAUCUGCUGACACAACUUCUCAUUCAGCUACCAUGUUUUUAUCUUGUUUCCACUAUUGACAAUAUAUUCCAUAGCUAAUAUAGCUGUCCUGGUAUUAAGUCUGUGUAAUACAGCUAGUGUAAUUGUGUCCCACGUUUGGACAUGGAGGUAAGUGUGAAUCGUUUGGCUGGCUAAUAAAAAAUAUAUUAUCCAAGGAGGUGAAUGUUAAAUGCAGUUCUAGUUACAGUUACUGUGACUGGUGAUACAUAUGCCUUAAUAUAUCUAGACGAUGAUUCAAGAUAUCUUUUUUUUUUACAUCAAGAAAAGCUUUAUCUCUUGACAAUUCAUAGCUGUAAACUAGAAACAUGUUGUAAACGGAGAACUUCAAACAGCCCAAUGUCCCUUCCUGUUCCUAUUUCACUCAUUAAUGAUAUAUCAAUAGUGGGAAUGGAUGCAAAAGAACAAAUAUUUCAUCUUCUUCUAUUGCUGAAGAAAGCAACAUGACUGGCUAUCAGCAAUAAACAUAUUAGCUUUAUUAAUUCCCCAAUUUAAGGCUUCUUGAAAUAGCCCUUGCAUAUAAUGCCUUAAGCAUUUCAGAAUAUUUGCACAAUCUCUAAUCAAACAAUAUUAAGAGAACUUCUUUAUUGAGCCUAGAAGCAAAGGUACCAGAAGUAUGUACAGUAAUGUUCUUUAACACUUGCAUAUUUUCAAGGGGCCAUGUUUACUCACACUGAUCAUGGCUUACUCUGCAGGUUGUUCCAUUGAAGUAUGAAUAAGGGUGGUAGAGUUAGUCCCAAGACUCUUUCGGGGAGCUGGAUGUCACAAGGACUGAGGGCCAAUUCUAGUGGUAUUUACAUAUAAAAUGGGUAUUCGGAUGUAGGGGUAUGAAUAUAUUUAUGAGGAAUGCACUUGUAAUGUAGCUACACAACUGAGAGUCUACCCACUGAAAUCCUGCGUGUACAGAUAAAUGCAUGCUCAGCGCUUCACUGGUUCUGUCAGAGACAGAACUUCCACUAGAGAAAUGAGAGAAUAUAGUUAUUGUUACCAUAGAACUGUAACAAUCUCUGAACUCUUAGUUGAUUGUUUUUUUCAUGAAAUUGAGCAAGAGUUUCAGAAUUGGGCCUGUUAAUCUUCCCAACACCCAAUAUAAUGACCCUUUACAAAUACUUUGCUAUACAAUAUAUAAAAUGGAAACCAUUUAAUUUCUUACUGAUCAGCUAGCCACCAUGCUAGUUCCACAUCUAACACACACGUUGAAAUUCAAAAAAACAUAAUAUGUAAAUCUACAACUCUUCUCUGAUUCCUGUGCUUUGCUUGUGCAAGAGUGAGAUGUAUUUUUAAAGAACAAUUCAAAAUAUGUUUCUCUUUUUCACUUGCAUAGCUGCUUUUAUCUAAACAAAGCAAAGACGAGGUGCUUGUCUGUCUGUUGCAUGCAGCAACGAAUUGAUUUGUUAUCCUACUAUCUUCCCCCUGUCCCAUUCUGCUCUUCACAGUGUGUUUAUGUAUGGUUGACUACUGCAUCUGAACCACAACUAACAGGAACUGGGAACAAAAGACUGAUAAAAAUACUACAUAUAUAUAUAUAAAAUAAAAUAAAUGUGCACGAGGAUUUCAUUAUUGGUCCUUUUGGAUAAGGGUUGUACACUGCAACUGUAAGUUAUUGACUUUCAGAGGUUUUUUGUAUUCUGUGUUCAUGUUGGUUACUGUCAGAUGUGCAGCUCAAAUUAUAAACGUACUUGAAAGC